UACGUAGGGUGCGAGCGUUGUCCGGAAUUACUGGGCGUAAAGAGUGCGUAGGUGGUUUGUUAAGUCUGCUGUGAAAUCCCCGGGCUCAACCUGGGAAUGGCAGUGGAUACUGGCAAGCUAGAGUGCGGUAGAGGGUAGUGGAAUUCCCGGUGUAGCAGUGAAAUGCGUAGAGAUCGGGAGGAACACCAGUGGCGAAGGCGGCUACCUGGACCAGCACUGACACUGAAGCACGAAAGCGUGGGGAGCAAACAGG
Molecule: ribosomal RNA, 253 nt
Filed under: uncultured bacterium
Lineage: Bacteria
Description: partial 16S ribosomal RNA
Rfam family: Bacterial small subunit ribosomal RNA
Source: RNAcentral